This is a long non-coding RNA of Pangasianodon hypophthalmus (striped catfish), 608 nucleotides long. RefSeq lists it as uncharacterized. The record is from RefSeq and is a predicted model, not a curated record. NCBI's taxonomy places the organism in Eukaryota, Metazoa, Chordata, Actinopteri, Siluriformes, Pangasiidae. The transcript has 3 exons.
AUGAAUAGGAGAAGCAGGAUUCAUCCUGGAAGAUCAUAUGGGCAUUAUAAUGAAACGCAGCUUAAAGGAUCCUAGUUUGACUUGCAGCUGCACUGCAUCCCAGCUUUGUAAUAGAUUCUGAUAUCGUGUCCAGAGAAUGUUUCUGAUCUUUCUGUACUGUAACAAACUCAAAACCUGAAUUAAAUCUGAUCAAAUAUUAUUAGUUGGAUAUAAACUUUCUGAAAUCAAGGAAAUAGUGUUUAUAGUGUCACAGAAAUCAUCAAAAUUAAAUAACAUGGAAAUGUGACUUGGGAAGACAAUUCUUUCACCUUGCAGAGUUUCCAUCCAUUCGUUAAGGCAUGUUUGCUCCACGGAGUUUCCUUAAAAUCAGACAGUUUCCUCCAGGUUCUCUGGUUUCCUCCCACCUCCCAUUAACAUGCAGGAUCCUGCAGCUGAUCCAGUUGAGCUGGAAUGAGGCAAGUCUUCUGGGGUUGUGGAAAGCCAGAGCACUUGACUACGCCUAAGUAAAAGUGGGAGGAGCUAGAUGUGCAGGUGCUGUUGACAGCAGCAUUACACCAGACCAACCCGUCAUAUCUUCAAGUGAAGGCAGCAGCACCACACUGACCUGC